ACUCUCACACACAGCUCCGUCAUAGAGUCACACUGUUGUCGUCUAACUGGACAGUAAACACACACACACACAGUCGCAGGAUGGCUGCUGCGUCGCCUCGCCGAUGUCCAACGCCUCAGACCUUCAUCAUCGUCCUCUUCGUCCUGUCAGGUGGACACCUGUGGUCUGUUUCCUGUUUUAAAGUGGCAGAGGGGGGCAUGGCCUCUCUGUCCUGUCACUACUCGGUGAAGCGUUAUGGUCUGAGCCGGGUCUGCUGGGGUCGCGGCUGCGGGACAUUCUGGUGCAACAACAUCCUGGUGCAGACGGACGAGAACGGUGUCAUCUCCAAGGUGGCAGACCGGUACCGGCUCAAUGGGGACGUCCUGGACGGACAGAUGGACCUGGACAUCCUGAAUGUGAGGCGGACAGACAGCGGGCCGUACUGCUGCAGGGUGGACAUCGACGGGAUGUUCAACGACAAGAAGGUGAUCAUGAACCUGAGAGUAGUCAAAGCUCCGGUCACCAGUUCACCUCCAACCACAACAACAGCAACAACCAGUCGAGUGACGGAGCCGUCCACCUCCACAGUAAACUGGAAAUCUCUGCUGUCGUCUCAACUGGACCUUCUGAGGAGGAACUCCACCCGGCUGCUGUCCGACACCGUCACUGUGGAGGACUCUCUAUCCUCUCUCUCCCUGCAGAUCAAUGUUCCCGUCCUCUCGCUCUCCCUCAGCGUGUUGCUGAUCUUGGCCGCAGUUUUUCUCUUUCUGGCUUUCAAACGUGGAAUAUACAGAAGAGCCUUGAAGAGCGGCUGUUUCUCCUCUGAAGAACCUCCUCACAUCAUUUAUGAGAUCCGGAUGAGAAGACCGGUGCAGGAGAACAUCUACACCCUGGACUAGAGAGCCCGGUUCACACCUGGACCACAAAUAAACUGGAUUUACAGAGAAAGAGUGCACAUUAAACCUUUACAUUACAUUAAAUAAAUCACACACACACUAUUCUCCAUAAAGUCAGAUGUGUUUGGCUGCUGGUUUUAAUUCAGUGUGUGAAAUAAUAAUCUGACAAUCGGGGGUCCGGUGCCGUCAACAGUGAUUAAAAAUAACAUCAGCCACUUAUUUUUCCUCCUAUAUGUUACACAGAUUUAUCUGUAAACCAACAGUGAAAUUAUUUUUCAUUAGUUUUUAUUUUCAUUUGGUUUCAUUUCAGGUUUUUAUUGUUUUAAAAUGUUUAAUUUUUGUUUAUUUAUUUAUUUUCAAAUGACAAUAUAGGGGUGUGUGUCAGAAUAUGUAUACAUUGACUCACAGUGAAGCCGAUCAUUGGUUCCCAACCUGAGGGUCGGGAGCGCCACUAGGGGUCACCAAAGCUUUUUAAAGAUCCUCCAUGAAACAAGAAGUUGUUUGUGUUUCCUGUAAGAACAGGAAGUAGGGAAGACUGAUUGAACACAAUCUCCGAGAUCGACAGAGAAUCCAGUACCGAGGUGGUUCUCCUACCGGGUUUGGUUCCUGGCGUCCCGGGGGGUAUAAAUGUUUUCGUUGGUUUGGAGGAGACAUCUCUUUCUUCUGGAUCUUUGGAGGGAAAGUCGUCCAACCAAUCGAACCACGGAGAACUUCCUGUAGACCUGCACACAUGGCUUCAUUCAAGUUCACCCUGCUGGCCUUGCUGGCCAUCGGACUCAUACUUUCAGUCGCCUCAGAGUCGUCAUCAGAAGAAGAAUCUGAAGACGGAGGAGAAGCUGGAGAGAAGAGUUCUACAACAGCAGAACAACCUACAGGACAACCUGGAUCGUCUCCAACACCCAAAGUCUCACAACCUGAAGCGUCUGUGAAACCUGCACCUUCCUCCCAACCCAAGAAAAAAUAGGUUUAUACGAGGAAUGCAUCAGAAAUCCGUCCCCUAUGAAUAUUGCUAAUUAUAAGAGGUAAAGAAAACAUAUUCAUACAAAGAAUACAAAUUCAAACAACUCUAAAUUAGGAUAUAGAGUCAUCAGUCAGCUCCCGAAUAGGAUAAAGGGCCAUUAUAACCUGCGGCGUCCCACAGGGAUCUACCCUCGGGCCACUCCUUUUCCUUAUUCAUACGGCUGCUGCAUCGUCCUCUAUGUACCGAAUACUUGUUGCAGAUGACACCAGUGUAUUUCUCUGUACAGCCAAAGCUGAUGCUGAUUGAGGAAGAAUUUUAAAAUGGUUCCAGUUAAUCAAGAUAUCUCUCAGUGUCAAUAAAUCAGAUUUGAUCACAUUUACAUGAAAUAAAUAAGUUUUCAUUUGAGUCCUGAUUGAUAAAACUGAGCUUGAAGAGUCACAUUUGGUUUGUUUGCAAUAAAUUAACCAAAUCUUUUGACAUCAUUGGCAAAUAUCAUAGUUUGGUCCAUUAGAAGUCCUUUUAACUCUUUAUUAUAGCUUUGUUUAUCUCAUAUAGUGCAGUAACAUUUGGGGAGUAACUUAAACAUUUACUUAUGUUUUUUGCUUUAUUUACAUUGCUUACUUUACUUUUUCUGUACUUGGAGUACAUUCAUUAACUAUCUGCUUAUGAUGCUAUUCUAUCUCACCUGCACAGUUUGCUUCUUCUCUCUUGUUUGUGAUUCUGCUGUUGUGUUUUACUGCGCAAAUAAAUAAAUCUGAACCUGAAUCACCUGUGAA
RNA transcript from Dicentrarchus labrax (European seabass), 2612 nucleotides. It is a transcript of the gene named T cell immunoglobulin and mucin domain containing 4, with no coding region annotated. NCBI's taxonomy places the organism in Eukaryota, Metazoa, Chordata, Actinopteri, Moronidae. The record is from RefSeq and is a predicted model, not a curated record. The transcript is spliced from 12 exons.